RNAcentral lists this ribosomal RNA (425 nucleotides) under uncultured bacterium. RNAcentral's name for it is "bacterial SSU rRNA". It matches the Rfam family "Bacterial small subunit ribosomal RNA", at positions 354 to 796 of the family's 1533-position model. The record is from RNAcentral.
GUGAGGAAUAUUGCACAAUGGGGGGAACCCUGAUGCAGCAACGCCGCGUGGAGGAUGACGCAUUUCGGUGUGUAAACUCCUUUUAUAUGUCAAGAAAAUGACGGUAGCAUAUGAAUAAGCACCGGCUAACUCCGUGCCAGCAGCCGCGGUAAUACGGAGGGUGCAAGCGUUACUCGGAAUCACUGGGCGUAAAGGACGCGUAGGCUGGCUGACAAGUCAGAUGUGAAAUCCUAUGGCUUAACCAUAGAACUGCAUUUGAAACUGUCAGUCUAGAGUAUGGGAGGGGGAGAUGGAAUUAGUGGUGUAGGGGUAAAAUCCGUAGAUAUCACUAGGAAUACCUAAAGCGAAGGCGAUCUCCUGGAACAUUACUGACGCUAAGGCGUGAAAGCGUGGGGAGCAAACAGGAUUAGAAACCCCAGUAGUCC